Molecule: ribosomal RNA, 253 nt
Filed under: uncultured bacterium
Lineage: Bacteria
Description: partial 16S ribosomal RNA
Rfam family: Bacterial small subunit ribosomal RNA
Source: RNAcentral
UACAGAGGUCUCAAGCGUUGUUCGGAUUCAUUGGGCGUAAAGGGUGCGUAGGUGGCGCCGUAAGUCGGGUGUGAAAUUUCGGAGCUUAACUCCGAAACUGCAUUCGAUACUGCGAUGCUUGAGGACUGGAGAGGAGACUGGAAUUCAUGGUGUAGCAGUGAAAUGCGUAGAGAUCAUGAGGAAGACCAGUGGCGAAGGCGGGUCUCUGGACAGUUCCUGACACUGAGGCACGAAGGCCAGGGGAGCAAACGGG